Molecule: long non-coding RNA, 3677 nt
Filed under: Salmo salar (Atlantic salmon)
Lineage: Eukaryota; Metazoa; Chordata; Actinopteri; Salmoniformes; Salmonidae
Description: lncRNA (ENSSSAG00000110949.1)
Source: RNAcentral
CUAUGUGGAGUCUAGUGAGUGUAUGUCUAUGUUUGGUUAAUUGGGGUUGGGACUCUCAGUUGAAGGCAGGUGUUGUCUAUCUGCCUUUGAUUGAGAGUCCCAUAUAUUAGGGUGUGUUUGUGUUUGUGAUUUGUGGGUGAUUAUUCUGUGUAUAGCCUUGUGCCUUACCAGACUGUUUGUCGAGUGUUCGUUUUUUCGUUAUUUGGUAUGUUCAUUUUUGAGAGUAAUUAAAAAUCAAGAUGAGCAUUCACGUACCUGCUGCGUUUUGGUCCUCAUUCACCGACAACAACCGUGACAAGAGUUGAAAGAUUGUUGUUGAUGGAUAUAUUGUGUAAUGGUGAAAGUCAGCCUACUUAUAGAAUAGAGUUGAAAGACUUGCAGAUGGAAAUGUUGUUUAGAGGUAAGAGAGCGUUGCAGAUGAUGUGUAGAUCUGAGCGAUUGUUGCAGAUAGAUAUGUAUCGUGUUGAGCUGAAUUGAUUCUCAAUUCUACACGACAGAGAUUCAUGUCUGCUCUCCCCAGGACAUUUCUUUCUGAGUGUUCUGUAACGUUACACGGUCCCGAACGCAACCCGAAUAGCUUGUCUAAAUAGAACCAGGUCAAAGUUUCACUGGGCGUGUCUGCCGUUCAGGCCUGUGGUGUGUUGUAUAUGAAAAUGUUAUCUUGGGAAACACAAACAAGCCAAUACUAACACAGACAGAGGCCUUGCCAGCCCAACAUUGGACUGGAUUUCGUAAGAGUUUCGCAACUCCACUUGAGCAAGACGUUUUUCACGGUCAUCUCUGCCAUCUGUUUAGCACUGUUUGUGGAAUAUUCAUUUUUUGAUUAAUGUGCAUUUACAGGGAUAAUACAUUCGUAUAUGAACGAUGGUUGCAUAACACAGAGAGAGACAAUGAAAUGAGGCCUACCAUGUGUUUUACGCUCAUGAUGCAUUUAUUAUGCAGUAAGAAUGAAACAACUAGGCCUGACAACACUCAGAUUUCCCCCGUUCAGAAUGUCAUUACAGCCCUUGGCUGUUACGUCAUCUUCUUGUCAUCAUGUCUAUCUUCCACCGUAAUUGUUGAUAAAAGUUAAUUGCAAUGUCUCUCCCUUCUUCUCACACAACGACAAAGCAGCCUUUGUGGAGAUCAGCCUAUUAGUCAGGCUGAUGGAAGGUGUGGUUGAUUACUGUGUAGAGAUACUGUCAAUAGAAGGGUUGGUCUCCAGAUUUAGAAAGAUCAGGACUCGACUGGUUAACCCGGUUAUUGUGGGAAAGUAGGUGCAUUUCACUUCAGGUAGUCCAGUGUUUGUGCUGAAUAGUUAGGUUGUGUUUGGUAGUGUUAUUGGCCGUUCGUCACAUCAUUUAAUGGAUGAAUGUUGAUGGAAUGAGAAUGUGUGUGUGAGUAGUUAGUGUGUGAAUGGUGUGUGUAUGUACUCUAGGAGAGUGUGUGUAUGGUUGUGCUGCAGGAUCAAAGGCAGGAUGAGGGAAUGUGUGUAUGUAUCACGGGGCGAGGCAGACAUCUGGGGUCCUCUCCGUUGCCAGCCGUGUGUCAGAGAUGACAGGACUCUGCCCCUCCUGAGGUUUUGUGUGUGUGUGUGUGUGUGUGUGUGUGUGUGUGUGUGUGUGUGUGUGUGUGUGUGUGUGUCCCUCCUUCAGUGGCCAGUGUUUAGAGGACAAAGGAUGUGCUGCAGCUGCUCUAAUUACAGUCUUUCUCAAGUGUGCCGACCACAGGGAGAGUGUGUGUGGGCGGGCGUGCACGCGCGUGUUUGUGUUUGUGUGUGUGUGCGCGCAAUUGCAUGAGUUUGCUGAUGUUUCUGUGCUUGCGUGUCCCCUGCACAGUGGUUUGUACUGUCUGUAUCUGUGAGUACAUUACCACUUAUACAUGUGUUGGAGUCUAUUUAUUUCUGUGUUUAUGAGGGUAUCAAUGACAGACAAAGGCCAAACCCAAUCCCCUCUGAUGCAGGCCAGGCCAGGCCAGGACAGGCUAGCUUGGGCUAGUUUAUCUCCAGGGCCUGCCUGUUUGUUUGUCUGCCUGUCUGUCUGCCUGCCUAUUAUCCCCACAGGCACUGUUCCCUCCUCUGACAUCUGCUUGAUGGCAUGGCCAUUUCAUCACCCUACUGAGGUAGAGGGAAUAACCAGGACAACAGAGAGGUUGGGGAGAACAACAGGGAAUAACCAGGACAGCAGAGAUGUUGGGGAGAAGAACGGGGAGUAACCAGGACAGCACAGGUUAGGGAGAACAACAGGAAAUAACCAGGACAGCAGAGGUUAGGGAGAACAACAGGGAAAACCAGGACAACAGAGGUUGGGGAGAACAACAAGGAAUAACCAGGACAACAGAGAGGUUGGGGAGAACAACAGGUAAUAACCAGGACAACAGAGAGGUUGGGGAGAACAACAGGUAAUAACCAGGACAACAGAGAGGUUGGGGAGAACAACAGGUAAUAACCAGGACAACAGAGAGGUUGGGGAGAACAACAGGAAAUAACCAGGACAACAGAGAGGUUGGGGAGAACAACAGGUAAUAACCAGGACAACAGAGAGGUUGGGGAGAACAACAGGAAAUAACUAGGACAACAGAGAGGUUGGGGAGAACAACAGGAAAUAACCAGGACAACAGAGAGGUUGGGGAGAACAACAGGGAAUAACCAGGACAACAGAAGUUGGGGAGAACAACAGGGAAUAACCAGGACAACAGAGAGCAUGGGGAAUAACAACAGGGAAUAACCAGGACAGCAGAGAGGUUGAAGAGAACAACAGGAAAUAACUAGGACAACAGAGGAUGGGGAGAACAACAGGAAAUAACCAGGACAACAGAGAGGUUGGGGAGAACAACAGGAAAUAACCAGGACAACAGAGAGGUUGGGGAGAACAACAGGGAAUAACCAGGACAACAGAGAGGUUGGGGAGAACAACAGGAAAUAACCAGGACAACAGAGAGGUUGGGGAGAACAACAGGAAAUAACCAGGACAACAGAGAGGUUGGGGAGAACAACAGGGAAUAACUAGGACAACAGAGAGGUUGGGGAGAACAACAGGAAAUAACCAGGACAACAGAGAGGUUGGGGAGAACAACAGGAAAUAACCAGGACAGCAGAGAGGUUGGGGAGAACAACAGGAAAUAACUAGGACAACAGUGAGGUUGGGGAGAACAACAUGGAAUAACUAGGACAACAGUGAGGUUGGGGAGAACAACAGGGAAUAACCAGGACAACAGAGGCUGUGGAAGAACAACAGGGAAUAAACUACGACAACAGAGGGUGGGGAAGAACAACAGGGAAUAACUAGGACAACAGUGAGGUUGGGGCGAACAGCAGGAAAUAACCAGGACAACAGAGAGGUUGGGGAGAACAACAGGUAAUAACCAGGACAACAGAGAGGUUGGGGAGAACAACAGGAAAUAACCAGGACAACAGAGGUUGCAUGGAGGGAUGUGAGAGGAGGUAGAGAAAGAGAUAGAUGGAGUGAAGGAUAGAUGGAGUGAAGGAAGAAUGGAUGGAUAGAGGGAUUGUGGAAGGUUUUGGUGAAGGGGAGUGACUGAUGUGUUGAGGGAGGAGGAAAGGGGGGUAAUUAUGCUUCAGCGUCGCCACGUAGCUUCAGCUGCUAGCUCGAGUCUUGUGGGAUGGACGUGUGUUACACCAGGCUGUUUGAAUAGCUGAGAACGUAUGUCACCUCUCUUUUUAAUCAACCUGACUGGAG